This 86-nucleotide transfer RNA is filed under the name Pseudochlorodesmis sp. HV01306a. RNAcentral's name for it is "tRNA-Met". It matches the Rfam family "tRNA". From Rfam's summary of the family: Transfer RNA (tRNA) molecules are approximately 80 nucleotides in length. Their secondary structure includes four short double-helical elements and three loops (D, anti-codon, and T loops). The record is from RNAcentral. Lineage: Eukaryota; Viridiplantae; Chlorophyta; Ulvophyceae; Bryopsidales; Bryopsidaceae.
GCAUAUAUGGCUGAGUGGUCGAAAGCAGUGGACUCAUAAUCCAUUUUCCUUUUGGAACAACGUAGGUUCAAACCCUACUAUAUGCA